AUGCAGAUUGAUGUCACUUCAUCUGAUGGCAAGACGACGGCGAAGGCGCCAAACCCUGAAUUCCAAACCUGGUAUGCUCAAGAUCAGCAAGUUUUCUCCUAUCUUCUGACGACACUGCCUCGUGAGAUCGCCAUCCAGGUUGCAUCAUGUCACACCGCGGCUGAACUCUGGAACACGGUGGAAGGGAUGCUUGCAUCUCACACCCGUUCUCAGACCACCAACGUCAGGAUUGCCCUCGCCAAC
Molecule: ribosomal RNA, 243 nt
Filed under: Triticum aestivum (bread wheat)
Lineage: Eukaryota; Viridiplantae; Streptophyta; Magnoliopsida; Poales; Poaceae
Description: partial small subunit ribosomal RNA
Source: RNAcentral